ACGCUCGACACCUACGGAGGCAGCAGUCGGGAAUAUUGCGCAAUGGAGGAAACUCUGACGCAGUGACGCCGCGUGCAGGAAGAAGGUUUUCGGAUUGUAAACUGCUUUAGACAGGGAAGAAGAAGUGACAGUACCUGUAGAAUAAGCUCCGGCUAACUACGUGCCAGCAGCCGCGGUAAUCUGAGCGGGCUGGCAAGGC
This 199-nucleotide ribosomal RNA is filed under the name uncultured bacterium. RNAcentral describes it as "partial 16S ribosomal RNA". It matches the Rfam family "Bacterial small subunit ribosomal RNA", at positions 328 to 539 of the family's 1533-position model. The record is from RNAcentral.